Molecule: ribosomal RNA, 406 nt
Filed under: uncultured bacterium
Lineage: Bacteria
Description: partial 16S ribosomal RNA
Rfam family: Bacterial small subunit ribosomal RNA
Source: RNAcentral
AUUGAACGCUGGCGGCAGGCCUAACACAUGCAAGUCGAACGAGUGGCGGACGUGAGAGUAAUGUCUGGGAAACUGCCUGAUGGAGGGGGAUAACUACUGGAAACGGUAGCUAAUACCGCAAACCAUGAGAUGUGCCUAGGUGGGAUUAGCUAGUUGGUGGGGUAACGGCUCACCAAGGCGACGCUCCCUAGCUGGUAUGAGAGGAUGACCGGCCACACGGGAAAUGAGACACGGUCCAGACUCCUACGGGAGGCAGCAGUGGGGAAUAUGGCACAAUGGGCGCAGGCCGGAGGCAGCCAUGCCGCGUGUAUGAAGAAGGCCUUCGGGUUGUAAAGUACUAUCAUCGGGGAGGCGUUACCCGCAGAAGAAGCACCGGCUAACUCCGUGCCAGCAGCCGCGGUAAUUC